AGUCGAGCUCGACGGGGGUGACCGAGUUGAAGGCCAUGGGAUCCCUCGCCACAGCGCACUUCCGGCGGGCGCUCGUGGUUCCGGGCGUGACCGAUAAGCUCCCGGUCUGGCCGCUGUAUGGUGCUCGUCGAGUGCCGACGCCUCGCGACGGUUUCAGAGAGAAUUUUUGACGGGGCACCGAGUCGCGCGGGAUCGGUGACUCGGGGUUGGGGCGAGCAGGGUGAGCGUGUGAGACCUGGCUCGGCUUCCGUUAUGAAGCUCAACUCGCCAGUCU
RNAcentral lists this long non-coding RNA (274 nucleotides) under Phoenix dactylifera (date palm). RNAcentral describes it as "long non-coding RNA (PDAC_LNC017798)". Lineage: Eukaryota; Viridiplantae; Streptophyta; Magnoliopsida; Arecales; Arecaceae. The record is from RNAcentral.